AGGGCCAUAACUCAGUGGUGGAGUAUUGGCUUUGCAAGCAGAAGGAGCCAGGUUCAGGCCCUGAUGUCUCUA
Non-coding RNA from Podarcis lilfordi (Lilford's wall lizard), 72 nucleotides. Lineage: Eukaryota; Metazoa; Chordata; Lepidosauria; Squamata; Lacertidae. The record is from the annotation of a GenBank genome assembly.